RNAcentral lists this ribosomal RNA (639 nucleotides) under uncultured bacterium. Its description in RNAcentral is "bacterial SSU rRNA". The stretch from base 1 to 544 matches the Rfam family "Bacterial small subunit ribosomal RNA", at positions 338 to 873 of the family's 1533-position model. The record is from RNAcentral.
CCUACGGGAGGCAGCAGUAGGGAAUCUUCCACAAUGGACGAAAGUCUGAUGGAGCAACGCCGCGUGAGUGAUGAAGGUUUUCGGAUCGUAAAACUCUGUUGUAAGGGAAGAACAAGUACGAGAGGGAAUGCUCGUACCUUGACGGUACCUUGCGAGAAAGCCACGGCUAACUACGUGCCAGCAGCCGCGGUAAUACGUAGGUGGCAAGCGUUGUCCGGAAUUAUUGGGCGUAAAGCGCGCGCAGGCGGCCUUUUAAGUCUGAUGUGAAAGCCCCCGGCUCAACCGGGGAGGGUCAUUGGAAACUGGAAGGCUUGAGUACAGAAGAGAAGAGUGGAAUUCCAUGUGUAGCGGUGAAAUGCGUAGAGAUGUGGAGGAACACCAGUGGCGAAGGCGACUCUUUGGUCUGUAACUGACGCUGAGGCGCGAAAGCGUGGGGAGCAAACAGGAUUAGAUACCCUGGUAGUCCACGCCGUAAACGAUGAGUGCUAGGUGUUGGGGGUUUCCGCCCGUCNGUGCUGAGACUACGCAGUAGACGACGUCCGCCGUCGGGAGGUACGGCCGGCGACGGCGUUAGAACGUACGUUAAGUUAGUAAGUUAGACGGCGUGAGACGCGCGACGGACGACGACGAGGGAGGAGG